UCUGGGAUUAGAUACCCCACUAUAUUAUCUUAAAAAAUUUAAAACACCAGAGUAGUAUAACUUAUUAAACUUAAAACUCAAAGAACUUGGCGGUUUUCUAAGUCUAUUUGGAGGAGUUUGUUAUUUAAUCGAUACCCCACGAGUUACCUCACCAGAUUUUUGAUUAUUCAGCCUGUAUAUUUUCGUCACCGUUAACCUUCAAGAACGUUAACCAAAAGGAAUAUUCCCAUAACUCAGAUCAAGAUGCAGCCUAUAAACUGGCUAUAAAUGAGCUACCCUACUUUCCAAUCGAGGAUUUUUUAACUAAAAUAAAAAGAAAAAAGGAUUCAAUAGUAAUUUUUUAAAGAAAAAACUAAUAAAAUAAGCCCUAGAAUACGUACACACCGCCCGUCACCCUCCUCAA
RNAcentral lists this ribosomal RNA (403 nucleotides) under Psolidium dorsipes. Its description in RNAcentral is "partial 12S ribosomal RNA". Lineage: Eukaryota; Metazoa; Echinodermata; Holothuroidea; Dendrochirotida; Psolidae. The record is from RNAcentral.